This 639-nucleotide ribosomal RNA is filed under the name uncultured bacterium. Its description in RNAcentral is "bacterial SSU rRNA". It matches the Rfam family "Bacterial small subunit ribosomal RNA", at positions 853 to 1502 of the family's 1533-position model. The record is from RNAcentral.
CUANCNNUNAAUUGNCCCCUGGGAGUACNGUCGCNAGAUNAAACUCNAAGGAUUGACGGGACCCGCAAAACGAUGGAUGAUGUGGAUUAAUUCGAUGCAACGCGAAGAACCNUACCUGUCUUGACAUGUACGGNAUCCUCCAGAGACGGAGGAGUGCCUCGGGAGCCGUAACACAGGUGCUGCAUGGCUGUCGUCAGCUCGUGUCGUGAGAUGUUGGGUUAAGUCCCGCAACGAGCGCAACCCUUGUCAUUAGUUGCCAUCAUUUAGUUGGGCACUCUAAUGAGACUGCCGGUGACAAGCCGGAGGAAGGUGGGGAUGACGUCAAGUCCUCAUGGCCCUUAUGACCAGGGCUUCACACGUCAUACAAUGGUCGGUACAGAGGGUAGCCAAGCCGCGAGGUGGAGCCAAUCUCACAAAACCGAUCGUAGUCCGGAUUGCACUCUGCAACUCGAGUGCAUGAAGUCGGAAUCGCUAGUAAUCGCAGGUCAGCAUACUGCGGUGAAUACGUUCCCGGGUCUUGUACACACCGCCCGUCACACCAUGGGAGUGGGGGAUACCAGAAGUAGGUAGGGUAACCGCAAGGAGCCCGCUUACCACGGUAUGCUUCAUGACUGGGGUGAAGUCGUAACAAGGUAGCCA